RNAcentral lists this ribosomal RNA (524 nucleotides) under uncultured bacterium. RNAcentral describes it as "bacterial SSU rRNA". It matches the Rfam family "Bacterial small subunit ribosomal RNA", at positions 28 to 531 of the family's 1533-position model. The record is from RNAcentral.
GGCUAACGCUGGCGGCGUGUCUUAGCCAUGCAAGUCGAGCGGACUUAUGGGGUAACUUAUAAGUCAGCGGCGGACGGCGGAGUAACACGUAGCUAACCUACCCUCUGGACGGGGAUAACCUACCGAAAGGUGGGCUAAUACCCGAUGUAGUCAUCCUGUAUAGGGGUGAUGAAAGGUGGGCUUCUGUUUACAAGCUCAUGCUGGAGGAGGGGGCUGCGGCCUAUCAGGUAGUUGGUAGGGUAAUAGCCUACCAAGCCGAUGACGGGUAGCCGGCCUGAGAGGGUGACCGGCCCGAGGGGCACUGAGAUACGGGUCCCACUCCUACGGGAGGCAGCAGGCUAGAAAUUUGGGCAAUGGGGGAAACCCUGACCCAGUGACGCCGCGUGCAGGAAGGAGCCCUUCGGGGUGUAAACUGCUGUCGUGUAGGGAGAAGGGUACUAAGGUGAACAAUCUUAGUACUUGACGGUACUACAGGAGGAAGCCCAGGCUAACCUCGUGCCAGCAGCCGCGGUAAAUAGCGUACU